CCUACGGGAGGCUGCAGUGAGGAAUAUUGGUCAAUGGGCGCGAGCCUGAACCAGCCAAGUCGCGUGAGGGAUGACGGUCCUACGGAUUGUAAACCUCUUUUGCCGGGGAGCAAGCGUGCGUUCGUGAACGCGCGUCGAGAGUACCCGGAGAAAAAGCAUCGGCUAACUCGGUGCCAGCAGCCGCGUUAAUACGGAGGUUGCGAGCGUUAUCCGGUUUUAUUGGUUUAAAGGGGUAGUUAGGCGGGAUGCCAAGUCAUCGGUAAAAAUGCGGGUCUAAACGUAGUCUAGCAGUUGAAACUGGCGUUCUUGAGUGGGCGAGAAGUAUGUGGAAUGCGUGGUGUAGCGGGGAAAUGCAUAGAUAUCACGCAGAACUCCGAUUGCGAAGGCAGCAUACCGGCGCCCUACUGACGCUGAGGCACGAAAGCGUGGGUAUCGAACAGGAUGAGAUACCCGAGUAGUC
Molecule: ribosomal RNA, 460 nt
Filed under: uncultured bacterium
Lineage: Bacteria
Description: partial 16S ribosomal RNA
Rfam family: Bacterial small subunit ribosomal RNA
Source: RNAcentral